CAGUAGCCGCGGGAAUACGUAGGUGGCGAGCGUUGUCCGGAUUUAUUGGGCGUAAAGGGAGUGUAGGCGGUCUUUUAAGUCUGAUGUGAAAGCCCACGGCUCAACCGUGGAGGGUCAUUGGAAACUGGGAGACUUGAGUGCAGAAGAGGAGAGCGGAAUUCCAUGUGUAGCGGUGAAAUGCGUAGAUAUAUGGAGGAACACCAGUGGCGAAGGCGGCUCUCUGGUCUGUAACUGACGCUGAGGCUCGAAAGCGUGGGGAGCAAACAGGAUUAGAUACCCCGGUAGUCCCUGUCUCUUAUAC
Molecule: ribosomal RNA, 301 nt
Filed under: uncultured bacterium
Lineage: Bacteria
Description: partial 16S ribosomal RNA
Rfam family: Bacterial small subunit ribosomal RNA
Source: RNAcentral